UCUGCAUCAGUUCCUGCCUCCAGUUUCUGCCCUGUGUUAGUUCCUGUCCUCCCAUCACAUUAUGAACCCCUCAGUUGAUUCAUCCAAUGAAGAGGUCACAGUUCCCAGGGGUCAAUUCCUUCCUCAAUCCUCAAUGCUGAACUGGGUUAUGACUAGAAGCUGUUGGAGCUGUUGGAAGGGCUGAGAUUGCCAGGGUGCAGAAGAGAGUCAGUCACCAUUUUCAGUUCAAAAUCCUGGUUGCUAGAGCAAGACUCACAAAGCUCCAAGUGCUCCGGGUUCCUGGGGAGACAUCAUCUUUGUGUGAAGUUGUGUGGGAAGAAGAGAGAAAGAUCUCCCUCUGAAAGUUUCACACUGUCUCUCUGAUGUGGUACUCACUGGACUGCCCCAGGAGGACAUGUGGAGCACUUUUGCUGUAUCAGUUCAGAGGCUGCCACAUAAUCCUGGCUCAUCUUUUCACCAGUCUCCCCAGACCACACUGGGACCUCCUACCUCAGAAUCAUCAUCAGAUGGGAAGUCAAGUUGGAAUUUCUGACAGAGAAACUCAGAAACAGAGAUCACUGUUGACUUCAUAAAACUGAUAGGCCUGUCAUGUUUUCUUUGUAUUUUACCAUUUUCUCUGGAUGUCCCCUGUGCUGCAUAACAUUUUGGCAACGUGACA
Molecule: long non-coding RNA, 658 nt
Filed under: Mus caroli (Ryukyu mouse)
Lineage: Eukaryota; Metazoa; Chordata; Mammalia; Rodentia; Muridae
Description: RIKEN cDNA A730082K24 gene (MGP_CAROLIEiJ_G0006605.1)
Source: RNAcentral